GUGACCUCAAAUCAGGUAGGACUACCCGCUGAACUUAAGCAUAUCAAUAAGCGGAGGAAAAGAAACUAACAAGGAUUCCCCUAGUAACUGCGAGUGAAGCGGGAAAAGCUCAAAUUUAAAAUCUGGCAGCCUUUGGUUGUCCGAGUUGUAAUCUAGAGAAGUGUUAUCCGCGCUGGACCGUGUACAAGUCUCCUGGAAUGGAGCGUCAUAGAGGGUGAGAAUCCCGUCUUUGACACGGACUGCCAGGGCUUUGUGAUGCGCUCUCAAAGAGUCGAGUUGUUUGGGAAUGCAGCUCAAAAUGGGUGGUAAAUUCCAUCUAAAGCUAAAUAUUGGCGAGAGACCGAUAGCGAACAAGUACCGUGAGGGAAAGAUGAAAAGAACUUUGGAAAGAGAGUUAAACAGUACGUGAAAUUGCUGAAAGGGAAACGCUUGAAGUCAGUCGCGUUGUCCAGGGAUCAACCUUGCUUUUGCUUGGUGCACUUUCUGGUUGACGGGUCAGCAUCAAUUUUGAUCAUUGGAAAAAGAUUGGGGGAAUGUGGCAUCUUCGGAUGUGUUAUAGCCCUUGGUUGCAUACAAUGGUUGGGAUUGAGGAACUCAGCACGCCGCAAGGCCGGACAAUUUUGUCACGUACGUGCUUAGGAUGCUGGCAUAAUGGCUUUAAUCGACCCGUCUUGAAACACGGACCAAGGAGUCUAACAUGCCUGCGAGUGUUUGGGUGGAAAACCCGAGCGCGUAAUGAAAGUGAAAGUUGAGAUCCCUGUCGUGGGGAGCAUCGACGCCCGGACCAGACCUUUUGUGACGGUUCCGCGGUAGAGCAUGUAUGUUGGGACCCGAAAGAUGGUGAACUAUGCCUGAAUAGGGUGAAGCCAGAGGAAACUCUGGUGGAGGCUCGUAGCGAUUCUGACGUGCAAAUCGAUCGUCAAAUUUGGGUAUAGGGGCGAAAGACUAAUCGAACCAUCUAGUAGCUGGUUCCUGCCGA
Molecule: ribosomal RNA, 979 nt
Filed under: Cortinarius sp. PDD 101852
Lineage: Eukaryota; Fungi; Basidiomycota; Agaricomycetes; Agaricales; Cortinariaceae
Description: eukaryotic LSU rRNA
Rfam family: Eukaryotic large subunit ribosomal RNA
Source: RNAcentral